This 622-nucleotide ribosomal RNA is filed under the name Xerocomus aff. subtomentosus TRTC156926. RNAcentral's name for it is "eukaryotic LSU rRNA". The stretch from base 190 to 344 matches the Rfam family "5.8S ribosomal RNA". Lineage: Eukaryota; Fungi; Basidiomycota; Agaricomycetes; Boletales; Boletaceae. The record is from RNAcentral.
CAUUAUCGAAUAUGAUUCGAAGAGGUAGAGAGACUGUCGCUGGUCAGAUCUUGGCAUGUGCACGUCCCCUCACCUUUUCUAUCUACACACACUUGUGCACCUAUUGUAGAUCCCUUUCGAGAGAGAGGGAACUAUGUUUUCAUCACAUCACACACAAUGUAUGUCUAGAAUGUAAAAAACAAUAUAUACAACUUUCAGCAACGGAUCUCUUGGCUCUCGCAUCGAUGAAGAACGCAGCGAAUUGCGAUAAGUAAUGUGAAUUGCAGAUUUCCAGUGAAUCAUCGAAUCUUUGAACGCACCUUGCGCUCCUUGGUAUUCCGAGGAGCAUGCCUGUUUGAGUGUCAUCGAAUUCUCAACCAUUCUCUCUUUUCUGGGAGUAUGGCUUGGACUUGGGGGUUGCUGGCAGCACUGUCAGCUCUCCUUAAACGCAUUAGCAAUCGAGUUGGCUAGUCUUUUGACGUACACGGCCUCGGACGUGAUAAUGAUCGUCGUGGCUGGAGCGUCUUUCCUAGACUAUGUACAUAGAUCGCUUCUAAUCUGUUGUCUAUCGAGCUUAGCUACUAGGCAGUCUUUUUGGCUGGCGAACGCAAGCGAGACAUUCACAUUCUCAGAGACUUGACCU